Long non-coding RNA from Nothoprocta perdicaria, 1298 nucleotides. RefSeq lists it as uncharacterized. The transcript is spliced from 6 exons. Lineage: Eukaryota; Metazoa; Chordata; Aves; Tinamiformes; Tinamidae. The record is from RefSeq and is a predicted model, not a curated record.
CCGCGCCCGGUGUCCGGUUCUGUGGCCCGGGUCGACUUGCGGCGUUUUAGCGCUCCUGGACGGUCCUGGGGCGCCGCCUGGGCCCCGCUUCGCCAGGGAGUGAGGGCCUCCCACAAAGAGGAGCUUGUGCGGAAGAGCGGCCGGGAGGAAAAGGCCAGGAAAAGGCCAGGGCUUAUUCACAGGGGCGCAGUGCGAGUGUUUGUCUCAUUAAGCUACCAAAACCAAACCCGGUGGAGGGAUUGGGCUGUGUGUAGUAAAUUAAGGAGGGCAGAGUCAAGGAGUAGGAUUGUAGACCAGAGAACAGUGUUGAAAGAGGAGCAGGCGUCUGAACUGCAUGCAAGUCUGCAGAGAAAGUGGAGUAUUGGUGGACUUCUGAUUUAUUAUGGUGUUUCACAACGAAACCAAAUGAGAAAUCUUGGUGAUGUUACUAAUUUUAAUGAAAAGCUUCCCCUGGUUAUCUAAGUGUUGUAAGACAUAGCAAUCUGCCAAUGAGGGUUAGUAGUUCACCUUCAUCUCCGAGGAACGAUCAAAUCAGGAUUUACAUCAGUCGGUGCAUGUCUGAGUAGACACAUUUGCUCUGGGUUUUUGCAUCUACAUCAUCUAUUACCAGCAGUUAUACGGGUUGCUGUGCAGAGUGUCCACAGCAAACGACCCAAGACCCCCAAAAGGUCCAUGAAGAGAGGAACUUCCUUGGAGAUGUGGUCYCACAGCACAGAGUUGAGCUUUAUCAGACUUUUGGGGGCAGAUUUGAGCAAGAUUUCCUUGCAGGUUUGGGAUGAAUGUAGCAGGAUUUGAGGUUUGCAUCUUUGUGUUGUCAGGUGGACUCUUUCAUCCAAGCUACCAUUUGGUUAUAAAUGAAGCAUGGAAGUUUAAGAAUUGUAUGCACACAACUGAAAGAAAAUUCUGGAAGAAGAUCAGCCAUCACAUGCCUAAUUAAGGACUUCUAAUAAGAUGUUCUUCUAAUGUUUUGCAAGAAGGAAAUGGGGCCAAAUGAGACAUUUCCAAGGCCAGGCAGCUCCUGGCUCCAGCGGGGGAURCAGAAGAAAGCCCUGCAGUGGGACGCCAGGAGAAGACGCGCUGUGGAGACCCCACGCUUCCCUAUCUCCUACCCCAGCUUCUUACAGGGGCCUCCUAUUGCUAAUGCCCGAAGGGGAGGAGACCUUGCGGGCUUAUUUGGGACAACGUCGUAUUUCCCCCGUGCGGGAACACCGUACGAGGCAGCUGUGGAGGCCGUUGCUGCUGUCAAUACACCGAGCCACCGACGCAAGUUCGUUUGAUGUGUGAAGCCAGAGCGAUGU